AGAGUUUGAUCCUGGCUCAGGAUGAACGCUGGCGGCGUGCCUAAUACAUGCAAGUCGAGCGAACAGAUAAGGAGCUUGCUCCUUUGACGUUAGCGGCGGACGGGUGAGUAACACGUGGAUAACCUACCUAUAAGACUGGGAUAACUUCGGGAAACCGGAGCUAAUACCGGAUAACAUAUUGAACCGCAUGGUUCAAUAGUGAAAGGCGGCUUUGCUGUCACUUAUAGAUGGAUCCGCGCCGUAUUAGCUAGUUGGUAAGGUAACGGCUUACCAAGGCAACGAUACGUAGCCGACCUGAGAGGGUGAUCGGCCACACUGGAACUGAGACACGGUCCAGACUCCUACGGGAGGCAGCAGUAGGGAAUCUUCCGCAAUGGGCGAAAGCCUGACGGAGCAACGCCGCGUGAGUGAUGAAGGUCUUCGGAUCGUAAAACUCUGUUAUCAGGGAAGAACAAAUGUGUAAGUAACUGUGCACAUCUUGACGGUACCUGAUCAGAAAGCCACGGCUAACUACGUGCCAGCAGCCGCGGUAAUACGUAGGUGGCAAGCGUUAUCCGGAAUUAUUGGGCGUAAAGCGCGCGUAGGCGGUUUUUUAAGUCUGAUGUGAAAGCCCACGGCUCAACCGUGGAGGGUCAUUGGAAACUGGAAAACUUGAGUGCAGAAGAGGAAAGUGGAAUUCCAUGUGUAGCGGUGAAAUGCGCAGAGAUAUGGAGGAACACCAGUGGCGAAGGCGACUUUCUGGUCUGUAACUGACGCUGAUGUGCGAAAGCGUGGGGAUCAAACAGGAUUAGAUACCCUGGUAGUCCACGCCGUAAACGAUGAGUGCUAAGUGUUAGGGGGUUUCCGCCCCUUAGUGCUGCAGCUAACGCAUUAAGCACUCCGCCUGGGGAGUACGACCGCAAGGUUGAAACUCAAAGGAAUUGACGGGGACCCGCACAAGCGGUGGAGCAUGUGGUUUAAUUCGAAGCAACGCGAAGAACCUUACCAAAUCUUGACAUCCUUUGACCGCUCUAGAGAUAGAGUCUUCCCCUUCGGGGGACAAAGUGACAGGUGGUGCAUGGUUGUCGUCAGCUCGUGUCGUGAGAUGUUGGGUUAAGUC
Molecule: ribosomal RNA, 1099 nt
Filed under: Mycobacteroides abscessus subsp. massiliense
Lineage: Bacteria; Bacillati; Actinomycetota; Actinomycetes; Mycobacteriales; Mycobacteriaceae
Description: bacterial SSU rRNA
Rfam family: Bacterial small subunit ribosomal RNA
Source: RNAcentral